AGUCACUGACAUUAGAUACCCCGGUAGUCCAGGGUGUAAACGCUGCAGGCUAGGUGUUUGGACGGCCACGUGCCGUUCUAGUGCCGCAGGGAAGCUGUUAAGCCUGCCGCCUGGGAGUACGAUCGCAAGAUUGAAACUUAAAGGAAUUGGCGGGGGAGCACCACAAGGGGUGAAGCUUGCGGUUUAAUUGGAGUCAACGCCGGAAAUCUCACCGGGAGCGACAGCAGUGUGAAGGCCAGAUUAAAGGUCUUGCCAGACGAGCUG
RNAcentral lists this ribosomal RNA (264 nucleotides) under uncultured archaeon. Its description in RNAcentral is "partial 16S ribosomal RNA". It matches the Rfam family "Archaeal small subunit ribosomal RNA", at positions 718 to 982 of the family's 1478-position model. The record is from RNAcentral.